This 20-nucleotide non-coding RNA is filed under the name Arabidopsis thaliana (thale cress). Lineage: Eukaryota; Viridiplantae; Streptophyta; Magnoliopsida; Brassicales; Brassicaceae. The record is from RNAcentral.
ACAACUGUUAGCUUCUGAAU